GAUGAACGCUGGCGGCGUGCCUAAUACAUGCAAGUAGAACGCUGAAGGAGGAGCUUGCUCUUCUGGAUGAGUUGCGAACGGGUGAGUAACGCGUAGGUAACCUGCCUGGUAGCGGGGGAUAACUAUUGGAAACGAUAGCUAAUACCGCAUGACAACAGUUAUUGCAUGAUAACUGUUUAAAAGGGGCAACUGCUCCACUACCAGAUGGACCUGCGUUGUAUUAGCUAGUUGGUGAGGUAACGGCUCACCAAGGCGACGAUACAUAGCCGACCUGAGAGGGUGAUCGGCCACACUGGGACUGAGACACGGCCCAGACUCCUACGGGAGGCAGCAGUAGGGAAUCUUCGGCAAUGGACGGAAGUCUGACCGAGCAACGCCGCGUGAGUGAAGAAGGUUUACGGAUCGUAAAGCUCUGUUGUAAGAGAAGAACGAGUGUGAGAGUGGAAAGUUCACACUGUGACGGUAUCUUACCAGAAAGGGACGGCUAACUACGUG
Molecule: ribosomal RNA, 495 nt
Filed under: uncultured bacterium
Lineage: Bacteria
Description: partial 16S ribosomal RNA
Rfam family: Bacterial small subunit ribosomal RNA
Source: RNAcentral